This 301-nucleotide ribosomal RNA is filed under the name uncultured bacterium. Its description in RNAcentral is "partial 16S ribosomal RNA". It matches the Rfam family "Bacterial small subunit ribosomal RNA", at positions 509 to 809 of the family's 1533-position model. The record is from RNAcentral.
CAGUCGCCGCGGUAAAACGGAGGGUGCAAGCGUUAAUCGGAAUUACUGGGCGUAAAGCGCACGCAGGCGGUCUGACAAGUCAGAUGUGAAAUCCCCGGGCUUAACCUGGGAACUGCAUUUGAAACUGUCAGGCUGGAGUCUUGUAGAGGGGGGUGGAAUUCCAGGUGUAGCGGUGAAAUGCGUAGAGAUCUGGAGGAAUACCGGUGGCGAAGGCGGCCCCCUGGACAAAGACUGACGCUCAGGUGCGAAAGCGUGGGGAGCAAACAGGAUUAGAGACCCCAGUAGUCCCUGUCUCUUAUAA